This 509-nucleotide ribosomal RNA is filed under the name uncultured bacterium. RNAcentral describes it as "partial 16S ribosomal RNA". It matches the Rfam family "Bacterial small subunit ribosomal RNA", at positions 355 to 855 of the family's 1533-position model. The record is from RNAcentral.
UGGGGAAUAUUGCACAAUGGGCGCAAGCCUGAUGCAGCCAUGCCGCGUGUGUGAAGAAGGCCUUCGGGUUGUAAAGCACUUUCAGCGAGGAGGAAGGUGGUGAACUUAAUACGUUCAUCAAUUGACGUUACUCGCAGAAGAAGCACCGGCUAACUCCGUGCCAGCAGCCGCGGUAAUACGGAGGGUGCAAGCGUUAAUCGGAAUUACUGGGCGUAAAGCGCACGCAGGCGGUUUGUUAAGUCAGAUGUGAAAUCCCCGGGCUCAACCUGGGAACUGCAUUUGAAACUGGCAAGCUAGAGUCUCGUAGAGGGGGGUAGAAUUCCAGGUGUAGCGGUGAAAUGCGUAGAGAUCUGGAGGAAUACCGGUGGCGAAGGCGGCCCCCUGGACGAAGACUGACGCUCAGGUGCGAAAGCGUGGGGAGCAAACAGAUUAGAUACCCUGGUAGUCCACGCUGUAAACGAUGUCGAUUUUGGAGGUUGUGCCCCUUGAGGCGUGGNUUCCGGAGCUAA